GGACCCGAUUCGGCGAGAGAGGUGCCUCACGGCACGAAAUAUUCCGGCUAAGCUUGUAGAUGCCGCUCUGGCAAGAUCUUCGGACGUGGGUUCGACUCCCACCGCCUCCACCA
RNAcentral lists this transfer-messenger RNA (113 nucleotides) under Bacillota bacterium. RNAcentral's name for it is "Firmicutes bacterium (sediment metagenome) partial transfer-messenger RNA". It matches the Rfam family "transfer-messenger RNA", at positions 277 to 374 of the family's 374-position model. From Rfam's summary of the family: Bacterial tmRNA, also known as 10Sa RNA or SsrA, is named for its dual tRNA and mRNA-like properties. Its role is to liberate the mRNA from a stalled ribosome. To accomplish this part of the tmRNA is used as a reading frame that ends in a translation stop signal. The record is from RNAcentral. Lineage: Bacteria; Bacillati; Bacillota.